CUUAAGCAUAUCAAUAAGCGGAGGAAAAGAAACCAACAGGGAUUGCCCUAGUAACGGCGAGUGAAGCGGCAACAGCUCAAAUUUGAAAUCUGGCGCAAGCCCGAGUUGUAAUUUGUAGAGGAUGCUUCUAGGUAGCGACCGGUCUAAGUUCCUUGGAACAGGACGUCAUAGAGGGUGAGAAUCCCGUAUGUGACCGGCCCGCACCUUCCACGUAGCUCCUUCGACGAGUCGAGUUGUUUGGGAAUGCAGCUCUAAAUGGGAGGUAAAUUUCUUCUAAAGCUAAAUACCGGCCAGAGACCGAUAGCGCACAAGUAGAGUGAUCGAAAGAUGAAAAGCACUUUGGAAAGAGAGUUAAAAAGCACGUGAAAUUGUUGAAAGGGAAGCGCUUACAACCAGACUUCUGGGCGGUGUUCCGCCGGUCUUUUGACCGGUCCACUCGCCGUCCCGAGGCCAACAUCAUCUGGGACCGCUGGAUAAGACCUCAGGAAUGUAGCUUCCCUCGGGAAGUGUUAUAGCCUCUGGUGAUGCAGCGCGUCUCGGGUGAGGUCCGCGCUUCGGCAAGGAUGUUGGCGUAAUGGUUGUCAGCGGCCCGUCUUGAAACACGGACCAAGGAGUCUAACAUCUAUGCGAGUGUUCGGGUGUCAAACCCCUACGCGUAAUGAAAGUGAACGGAGGUGGGAAGGGUAACCUGCACCAUCGACCGAUCCUGAUGUCCUCGGAUGGAUUUGAGUAAGAGCAUAGCUGUUGGGACCCGAAAGAUGGUGAACUAUGCCUGAAUAGGGUGAAGCCAGAGGAAACUCUGGUGGAGGCUCGCAGCGGUUCUGACGUGCAAAUCGAUCGUCAAAUUUGGGUAUAGGGGCGAAAGACUAAUCGAACCAU
Molecule: ribosomal RNA, 879 nt
Filed under: Ramularia macrospora
Lineage: Eukaryota; Fungi; Ascomycota; Dothideomycetes; Mycosphaerellales; Mycosphaerellaceae
Description: eukaryotic LSU rRNA
Rfam family: Eukaryotic large subunit ribosomal RNA
Source: RNAcentral